RNAcentral lists this unclassified non-coding RNA (366 nucleotides) under Hevea brasiliensis (rubber tree). The record is from RNAcentral. Lineage: Eukaryota; Viridiplantae; Streptophyta; Magnoliopsida; Malpighiales; Euphorbiaceae.
UGUUCAUUCAUUUUUGCAGGUUGGUGUCCUUAUCGAGGAGCCAUUUCCAAUGCUUGCACUCGAUGAGCUAUGUCAGCGUGUUCACGACAACAUCCACGAAGCAAUGGCAAACGAAAAGCAGAUUCAAGAAAUAGUAAACAGCAAAAGAAAAAGAAGUUUUAGUGAACACUCUCCAAAUGGUUGGCCAACAUCAUAGGAUUGACUAGAAAUUACGUCUUAAAAACGAAAGACUGAAGUCUUCUCUAUCAUGACUUCAGCAACUGUACAUAAAGAGGGAAUGUCCCAUAUAUGAAUGUUGUUUCAAUGUCUGGGAAAACAAAGGGAAGACAUAUUUCUAUUACCAUAUAUGUAAAUAUAUAGUUCUGG